UGCGUAGGUGGUCUUGUAAGUCAGAAGUGAAAGGCUACGGCUUAACCGUAGUAAGCUUUUAAAACUGCAGGACUUGAGUGCAGGAGAGGAAAGUGGAAUUCCUAGUGUAGCGGUGAAAUGCGUAGAUAUUAGGAGGAACACCAGUGGCGAAGGCGACUUUCUGGACUGUUACUGACACUGAGGCACGAAAGCGUGGGGAGCGAACA
RNAcentral lists this ribosomal RNA (206 nucleotides) under uncultured bacterium. Its description in RNAcentral is "partial 16S ribosomal RNA". It matches the Rfam family "Bacterial small subunit ribosomal RNA", at positions 568 to 774 of the family's 1533-position model. The record is from RNAcentral.